UCCUCACAUCUGCUAUGCUUCUGCCUUCCUACGCUGGCAGGAGCCGCUGAGAAGCUCAAAUGGAGUAAAGGAGGAGAACGAGAGGAAAGUCCAUACCCAAGUGCAAUCAAGAAUGGAAGAAUUGAAAGGGGAGAAAAAAACUAGGAAGGAAAGAAUAUAGAGACAGAAAAGAAAGCCGGAGCAAGGAACUAAAGCCUGCAAGGUUGAUGUAUCUCUCUGAUAUCAAGGAAGGACCUGUAACAUUGAGGCCUGGUAA
RNAcentral lists this long non-coding RNA (256 nucleotides) under Mus spicilegus (steppe mouse). RNAcentral's name for it is "lncRNA (ENSMSIG00000017482.1)". Lineage: Eukaryota; Metazoa; Chordata; Mammalia; Rodentia; Muridae. The record is from RNAcentral.